GGACGAACGCUGGCGGCGUGCCUAAUACAUGCAAGUAGAACGCACAGUUUAUACCGUAGCUUGCUACACCAUAGACUGUGAGUUGCGAACGGGUGAGUAACGCGUAGGUAACCUGCCUGGUAGCGGGGGAUAACUAUUGGAAACGAUAGCUAAUACCGCAUAAUAUUGAUUAUUGCAUGAUAAUUAAUUGAAAGGUGCAAUUGCACCACUACCAGAUGGACCUGCGUUGUAUUAGCUAGUAGGUGAGGUAACGGCUCACCUAGGCGACGAUACAUAGCCGACCUGAGAGGGUGAUCGGCCACACUGGGACUGAGACACGGCCCAGACUCCUACGGGAGGCAGCAGUAGGGAAUCUUCGGCAAUGGACGAAAGUCUGACCGAGCAACGCCGCGUGAGUGAAGAAGGUUUUCGGAUCGUAAAGCUCUGUUGUAAGAGAAGAACGGGUGUGAGAGUGGAAAGUUCACACUGUGACGGUAUCUUACCAGAAAGGGACGGCUAACUACGUG
This 506-nucleotide ribosomal RNA is filed under the name uncultured bacterium. RNAcentral describes it as "partial 16S ribosomal RNA". It matches the Rfam family "Bacterial small subunit ribosomal RNA", at positions 27 to 507 of the family's 1533-position model. The record is from RNAcentral.